CGGAAUAUAGCGCAGCCUGGUAGCGCGCACCCUUGGGGUGGGUGAGGUCGUGGGUUCGAAUCCCGCUAUUCCGA
Tumebacillus sp. is the source of this 74-nucleotide non-coding RNA. NCBI's taxonomy places the organism in Bacteria, Bacillati, Bacillota, Bacilli, Caryophanales, Alicyclobacillaceae. The record is from Rfam.